UUUCUCAACAGUACCAAGCAGGACCUAGGUCAAGGACUACAAACCCCGACUAAAUUGAACGUGAGCACGGCGCCACGACAAUCACUACGCAGAGACCUCGCUAUGGGCACGCCGGGGUCACCGCACUUGGACUUUAUCCGACGGUCACCGUAUCCUAACUCGCCGAGAGAUGAUCCGUUCAUAUUGAGCCACAGUUCGCCGCGCGGCGCGGAGGCGGGCGCGUACCUCAGCAAGCUGGAGUUGGUGGGGCGCUGUCUGCAGCGCGCCGUGCACUCGCGCGACGUGCCCUGACCUGCGCACGCGCACGACUGGGCUCUACACUGCUGUACAGUCGAUCGAUACAUGUAGUCAUCGUGAUGGAGUUUCGUGCUAGUGUUUUCAUGCAAAACUACUAUUCUUCAAUUGACGUUUUCAAAAAGGGAUUUAAUUUUAUCGAUAUAAAUAGAUAUUUACAAAACCUAUUGCUUGUCGAAUAAUAACCGAGUCUGAAAUAAAAGUCAAGUACAUAAAUGGUAAAAGUUCGAAAUAUGUACUUUUUUAUACUUCAUUAUACAAAUUUCAAAAAUAAAAAGAAUGAAACAUGAAAAUAUUUAGAAGCAGGUUCUAAAAUGUGGAUGAUUUUUUUACUUUUUUCUAUAAUAACUCAGCAAAGUGGCCUUAUUAAACGCCUUAGAUCUUGCUCAUGUCAUUCAGUGUUAAUUUUUUUGUAUGAAAACACCGCUACCAGCAUUUGUUUUGUCAAUGCAUUUCCGUAAGAAGUUAUCUCAAGUAUUAGACUAGUGCCAAACGGAUUGUAUUCUGGUGUUACUUAAUUUAUUUGUUAGAAGUUAUUAAGAGUUUUUUUUUUUUUUCAUUUAAGCCGGAGAUGUACAAUUCCAUGUUCGUAUUCAUUUUAUAACUCCGCCUAAUUGUUUUGAUAGUUGUAAAUUUAUGUAAUAAUUACGAGUUGGUUCUGAAUUUUUAUGGCUAUUGAAAAUAUUUUCUUUUCUAUAUCUUAUUAUAAUUUGCCUUUUUAAUAAAAAAACUGUUAUUUCUCUUUAUGUUUCGCUAAUUCAGAAUUUACUCGAACAAUUCAUUGAGUAAUACAUUCGGCUAUUAUAUAAGUAAUUUUUUCGAAAGUAUAUUGACGAAAUUUUCAUUUGACAUUUCUUAUUGAUAAACGCAUAAACAAUUGGGCGUGCUUUUUUAUUUUUUUAUAUGUUACAAUUAUAACUUACAAAUUUCUCUCUACUGAAUAUGUAUUUAUAGUAUUUUUUUGUUAUUAUUGUUUAAGUGAUGAAAAAUUUAAUUGUGGCCGAAUGUAUACUCAAUAUUUUGGUGUCAAAGAUUUUGUUAUGUAUGUAAGUUUUACUAGACACCCACAUUUGUAUAUAUUUAGAUUUAUUGACAUUAAAUUGUUAUGACGAAGCAUUCGAACGAUUAGUUUUAGAUUUUUAGAUAUAAUUUUUCGAUUGAGAAUUCGCUUUAAAUUAUACCACCUCUGAAAUGUUGAUUAAUAGUUCUUUUAAACAAAAAAAUAGUAAUAUAUUAGAAAGUUAUGUAUUUAAUGUUUCAGAAAAUGUAUUUUUCUACAACAGAAAUAUGUUAAAACGGACAUUUGUAAAGAGUAGUUGUAAAUAUUAGGAUAACAGGCGUAGGGAACGCCAGCGCAAAUUCAUGCCAUGUUUAGCAUAAUACUAGAUUAGUUUUACUUUUUUAUAUAUGUUAAAUAACGAAAGUACAAGUUAGUGUAAGUCUGGAAUGCGUGGAACGGAACGUGCUGUGACGUCAUAAUAUAACAAACUUUUAUGUACCAAUUUAAUAAUUUAUACCGAUUAAAAAAUAUUGCCGUUAUAGAUAUAGGUUGUUAUUACAAUUUAUAAUAUUUAUUGUUCAUUCAGCGUCGUUAUAUUAAAUGUAACUAAUAAAGUUUCUAAUAUCGAUAGUAACAAAUUUUACGUAAGAAUAUCUGCCGUCGUCAGAUCACGUUCCAUUUCACGCACAUUGUUAAGAGUAAGCGACAUCACGACUAGCCUCGACACGACCGAUACAUUCGAACGUUCCGUAAAUUGAUGAGAUUCAUCGAAAAUAUUCAAAA
RNAcentral lists this long non-coding RNA (2077 nucleotides) under Manduca sexta (tobacco hornworm). RNAcentral's name for it is "uncharacterized LOC119188963". The record is from RNAcentral. Lineage: Eukaryota; Metazoa; Arthropoda; Insecta; Lepidoptera; Sphingidae.